AUUGAACGCUGGCGGCAGGCCUAACACAUGCAAGUCGAACGGUAGCAGGCCGUUUGCUGCUGGCGUCAGGCGCAGGGGGGUGUGAAGCGCCUGAACGUGCGCCGGGGAGGGGGGUAACACGGCGGAAGAUGGGCGAAUAUACCACGUGCGCCGAGGGGGAGAACGGGGGGGAACGUCGCAACGCUUGGCCUCGGACGAGUCUAGGUCCGAUUAGCUAGUUGGUGGGGUAAAGGCCUACCAAGGCGACGAUCCGUAGCUGGUCUGAGAGGAUGAGCAGCCACACUGGAACUGAGACACGGCCCAGACUCCUACGGGAGGCAGCAGUGGGGAAUUUUGGACAAAGGGCGCAAGCCUGAUCCAGCCAUGCCGCGUGUGUGAAGAAGGCCUUCGGAUUGUAAACCGCUUUUGUUCGGGAGGAAGAGGAUCAAGCUAAUACCUUGCUCUGUUGACGUUACCGACAGAAUAAGCACCGGCUAACUACGUG
RNAcentral lists this ribosomal RNA (484 nucleotides) under uncultured bacterium. RNAcentral's name for it is "partial 16S ribosomal RNA". It matches the Rfam family "Bacterial small subunit ribosomal RNA", at positions 29 to 507 of the family's 1533-position model. The record is from RNAcentral.